UUAGCCCUAAACACAAAUAAUUAUAAAAACAAAAUUAUUCGCCAGAGUACUACCGGCAACAGCCUAAAACUCAAAGGACUUGGCGGUGCUUUAUACCCUUCUAGAGGAGCCUGUUCUAUAAUCGAUAAACCCCGAUAGACCUCACCAAUUCUUGCUAAUACAGUCUAUAUACCGCCAUCUUCAGCAAACCCUAAAAAGGAAUAAAAGUAAGCAUAAUCACAACACAUAAAAACGUUAGGUCAAGGUGUAACCUAUGAAAUGGGAAGAAAUGGGCUACAUUUUCUACCACAAGAAAAUCACACGAAAGUUAUUAUGAAACUAAUAACCAAAGGAGGAUUUAGUAGUAAACUAAGAAUAGA
Molecule: ribosomal RNA, 359 nt
Filed under: Cephalophus dorsalis (bay duiker)
Lineage: Eukaryota; Metazoa; Chordata; Mammalia; Artiodactyla; Bovidae
Description: partial 12S small subunit ribosomal RNA
Rfam family: Bacterial small subunit ribosomal RNA
Source: RNAcentral